UCGCGGGCGACUGCGAAUCUGAAGGAAGCUGGCGGCAAAUGUUUGAGCCUACGAACAGAAACUUCAUAUAAGGCGGGGCUGUGUGGGUGAUGUUGCAAAAGAAACAGAAGCCCUAUACUGCACAGAACACAGCUACGUAAAUGGAGAGGCUACAUGAACAGAAAGCGAAUGAU
RNAcentral lists this non-coding RNA (173 nucleotides) under Algoriphagus antarcticus. Lineage: Bacteria; Pseudomonadati; Bacteroidota; Cytophagia; Cytophagales; Cyclobacteriaceae. The record is from RNAcentral.